CAGAGCGUGGCUAAGCCUAGAAAAGCAUCUCCCUUACACUGAGAAGUCACCCGUGCAACUCGGGUCGCCCUGAC
This 74-nucleotide transfer RNA is filed under the name Triglops jordani. RNAcentral describes it as "tRNA-Val". It matches the Rfam family "tRNA". From Rfam's summary of the family: Transfer RNA (tRNA) molecules are approximately 80 nucleotides in length. Their secondary structure includes four short double-helical elements and three loops (D, anti-codon, and T loops). Lineage: Eukaryota; Metazoa; Chordata; Actinopteri; Perciformes; Cottidae. The record is from RNAcentral.